UACGUAGGGUGCAAGCGUUGUCCGGAAUUAUUGGGCGUAAAGAGCUCGUAGGCGGUUUGUCGCGUCUGCUGUGAAAACCCGAGGCUCAACCUCGGGCCUGCAGUGGGUACGGGCAGACUAGAGUGCGGUAGGGGGAGAAUGGAAUUCCUGGUGUAGCGGUGGAAUGCGCAGAUAUCAGGAGGAACACCGAUGGCGAAGGCAGGUCUCUGGGCCACUACUGACGCUGAGAAGCGAAAGCAUGGGGAGCGAACAGG
RNAcentral lists this ribosomal RNA (254 nucleotides) under uncultured bacterium. RNAcentral describes it as "partial 16S ribosomal RNA". It matches the Rfam family "Bacterial small subunit ribosomal RNA", at positions 524 to 776 of the family's 1533-position model. The record is from RNAcentral.